RNAcentral lists this ribosomal RNA (430 nucleotides) under Pseudomonadota bacterium. RNAcentral describes it as "Proteobacteria bacterium partial 16S ribosomal RNA". It matches the Rfam family "Bacterial small subunit ribosomal RNA", at positions 355 to 776 of the family's 1533-position model. Lineage: Bacteria; Pseudomonadati; Pseudomonadota. The record is from RNAcentral.
UGGGGAAUAUUGGACAAUGGGGGGAACCCUGAUCCAGCCAUGCCGCGUGUGUGAAGAAGGCCUUAUGGUUGUAAAGCACUUUAAGCGAGGAGGAGGGUACUGGUAUUAAUACUACCAGGUACUGGACGUUACUCGCAGAAUAAGCACCGGCUAACUCUGUGCCAGCAGCCGCGGUAAUACAGAGGGUGCGAGCGUUAAUCGGGUUUACUGGGCGUAAAGCGUGCGUAGGCGGCUAAUUGAGUCGGAUGUGAAAUCCCCGAGCUUAACUUGGGAAUUGCAUUCGAUACUGGUUAGCUAGAGUGUGGGAGAGGAUGGUAGAAUUCCAGGUGUAGCGGUGAAAUGCGUAGAGAUCUGGAGGAAUACCGAUGGCGAAGGCAGCCAUCUGGCCUAACACUGACGCUGAGGUACGAAAGCAUGGGGAGCAAACAGG